GGGGUAGUAGCUCAGCUGGUUAGAGCGCUGGUCUGUCACACCAGAGGUCGCGGGUUCAAGUCCCGUCUAUCCCGCCA
RNAcentral lists this transfer RNA (77 nucleotides) under Leptospiraceae bacterium. Its description in RNAcentral is "tRNA-Asp". It matches the Rfam family "tRNA". From Rfam's summary of the family: Transfer RNA (tRNA) molecules are approximately 80 nucleotides in length. Their secondary structure includes four short double-helical elements and three loops (D, anti-codon, and T loops). Further hydrogen bonds mediate the characteristic L-shaped molecular structure. tRNAs have two regions of fundamental functional importance: the anti-codon, which is responsible for specific mRNA codon recognition, and the 3' end, to which the tRNAs corresponding amino acid is attached (by aminoacyl-tRNA synthetases). tRNAs cope with the degeneracy of the genetic code in two manners: having more than one tRNA (with a specific anti-codon) for a particular amino acid; and 'wobble' base-pairing, i.e. permitting non-standard base-pairing at the 3rd anti-codon position. The record is from RNAcentral. RNAcentral also lists the same sequence under 1 other name. Lineage: Bacteria; Pseudomonadati; Spirochaetota; Leptospiria; Leptospirales; Leptospiraceae.